Molecule: long non-coding RNA, 887 nt
Organism: Camelus dromedarius (Arabian camel)
Lineage: Eukaryota; Metazoa; Chordata; Mammalia; Artiodactyla; Camelidae
Exons: 3
Source: RefSeq, a predicted model, not a curated record
GAGAUCCUGGAGCAUUCUGGGGCCGACUUUCCCCCUGGAUUGGUUGGGGCUUGGAGGUUGGGUCCUUUCCCAAGGUAUUCUGUACCCUGUCAACUUAUUUACCAGUGAGGCUCAGCAGAAAUGAGGCUUGUUAGAACAGCAGGGCACAGGCUGAGCUGGAGCGCCUAAUCCUCGGGACCCAGGGAACUUCUGAAACCCCCAGCCGAGGGAAGGGGAGGAAGGGCACUUCUGCCUGACUUCUCCUAACUGGGGAGGGUCAAGUAUGGUAUUAACGCAGGGGACAGCGCUUUUAGGAAACUUUAAGAAGCACUUUAUAUAAAUGCAGCUGACUUUUGAACUGCCACCGUCUCUUUUCCUGUUCACCUGAAGCUGAACUGGCAUUAGGAAACUGAAUCAGUUUAUUCCCGGAAAGGAAUUUCAAAGACCCAGGUCUGUUCAGUUCUUGGAAGAAGAAACCUGGUGGUGGAUGGGCACCGGCCGAUUCGCAGCACCCAACACCAGUCACUGCGCACAGACUGCGGCCCCGCGGCCCUCCCUCCCCGGAGUUCUGGGUCCGAAGAUGAAGAAACUGCCAUUCUGAGACUCCAGAGAGCUUAUGCAAGUGCUAGAUUCUGGAUUCACUCCCAGACCUGUCUGACUCCAUGGUCACAUCGCCUCUGGGGCCCACAAGUUUGGAUGGAUAACACUGGAAAAAGCAGGUGAGGAAGAAACAGCUAAGAGCCAGCUGGAGCUUGGAGAGAAGAAAGAAGCAAGUUUAGGAGCCAGUGUUGUGACUGUAAGCUGAAGAGAGAGGUGGAGAAAAUGGAUUUUAAAACUUUUCGUUCUGUAGAAUCUCUUUUGGCAAUUUUUUUUUCAAGAGGCUAAAGAUAUUAAAUGGUUUGAAACUA